UUCAUCAAGGCAUGGGCGGGAAGGGGGCGAUCUCCAGGGCAGGAUGGACGAGGCGGUGGGGCUCAUAGCAAGGAAAGGGAUCCAUCCCCAGGUGUGGCGCACAACAGCCUCUGCAUCCCUCCGAGCCAUGUGGGUCUCACCUCCCAACCAGUCUUAGAAGAGGCAGGAGGACUGCUGAAUGAAGCUCAGGUACAUCAGUGAAGAAUCCCGCAGCCAAAUGCCAGGAAGCAGACCCAGGACAGAAGGGCCUCAAUUCAAACCCCUUUUUUGAGUCUCUCUAUUUGACAGAAUCACCCCCAAAGGCACCACAUCCCCAGUUUCCUGUGGCCACUGCUGAAAGAUUCUCAGAAGAAACUCCAGGUCGGAAGAAACCACAAUAAGCCUAUAGGAAAACAAGAAAUGUCAACAUAACUGUCUUCAUAUGUGUUCAGCUGGAUCCCAUAAACUUCCUGGAUGCCUGUACUGUCAGUGAGCAGAAGAAAGUUCGUCCACCUGUCUUAAUUUUAAAGAAAUGCAGCUUUUAUAGAUGAUGGAAUACUUUGGGCUAAGAAGCACCAUGGUAUAUGGUUUAGUUUUCUAGUUAACCUGUCACUGAAAUUUAAUAAAUUAGUUCAUUGCCUCUUUCUUUACAUCAGUGAUAAAAUGAGAACAAUCCUUUACUAAAAAAUUUUAGACUCAUUAGGAUUGAUAGAUCUAUAGCAUUUGUACAAAAAAAUGACCUUUAAAAAUGGUA
Phascolarctos cinereus (koala) is the source of this 733-nucleotide long non-coding RNA. RefSeq lists it as uncharacterized. Lineage: Eukaryota; Metazoa; Chordata; Mammalia; Diprotodontia; Phascolarctidae. The record is from RefSeq and is a predicted model, not a curated record.